Molecule: ribosomal RNA, 537 nt
Filed under: Bacillus sonorensis
Lineage: Bacteria; Bacillati; Bacillota; Bacilli; Caryophanales; Bacillaceae
Description: bacterial SSU rRNA
Rfam family: Bacterial small subunit ribosomal RNA
Source: RNAcentral
GCAAGUCGAGCGGACCGACGGGAGCUUGCUCCCUUAGGUCAGCGGCGGACGGGUGAGUAACACGUGGGUAACCUGCCUGUAAGACUGGGAUAACUCCGGGAAACCGGGGCUAAUACCGGAUGCUUGAUUGAACCGCAUGGUUCAAUCCUAAAAGGGGGCUUUUAACUACCACUUUCCGAUGGACCCGCGGCGCAUUAACUAAUUGGUGAGGUAACGGCUCCCCCAGGGCACCAUGCCUAACCCAACUGAAAGGGUGAUCGGCCACCCUGGGACUGAAACCCGGCCCAAAAUCCUACCGGAAGCAACAGUAAGGAAUCUUCCGCAAUGGACGAAAGUCUGACGGAACAACCCCCCGUGAGUGAUGAAGGUUUUCCGAACCUAAAACUCUGUUGGUAGGGAAGAACAAGUACCGUUCCAAUAAGGCGGUACCUUGACGGUACCUAACCAGAAAGCCACGGCUAACUACCUGCCAGCAGCCGCGGUAAUACCUAAGUGGCAAGCGUUGUCCGGAAUUAUUGGGCGUAAAGCGCGCGCAAG